GAUGAACGCUGGCGGCGUGCUUAACACAUGCAAGUCGAGCGGGCAAUUUAUCUAGCACUGAUUACUUCAAAUGGAAAUCAUAAGUGUAAUCAUGAAUUUCUACCUUUAAUAAAGAAAAAAAUUCAUGUACGCAAAUAGUGAUAACACAUUUUAGUGGAGUGAUGAGUGCUGGAUAAAUUGCUAGCGGCGGACGGGUGCGUAACACGUGGGUAACCUGCCCCUAUCACUGGGAUAACACACUGAAAAGUGUGCUAAUACCAGAUAAUAUAAGCUUUUGGCAUCAUUAGCUUAUCAAAGAAUUUCGGAUAGGGAUGGGCCCGCGUCUGAUUAGCUUGUUGGUGAGGUAACGGCUCACCAAGGCAACGAUCAGUAGCCGACCUCGAGAGGGUGAUCGGCCACACUGGAACUGAGACACGGUCCAGACUCCU
RNAcentral lists this ribosomal RNA (428 nucleotides) under uncultured bacterium. RNAcentral's name for it is "bacterial SSU rRNA". It matches the Rfam family "Bacterial small subunit ribosomal RNA", at positions 28 to 340 of the family's 1533-position model. The record is from RNAcentral.